GCCGUGCCCAGAAAUACGUCCCGGUGGGGACGGGGCCGUUGGUCAGAGGCGCCGCGGGCGAGCGGGAGGCAGCGGCAGGCAGUGGCGGGGCACGCUCUGUCCCGGUCGCUGAGGCGAGAGGUCCCCUGAGCGGGCGCGGCGCGGGCCCGGCUCUGAGGGGGCUCCUCUGAGGGGCCCCGGCCGAGCCCGCGGGGUGAUGGCGCUGGGGCUGCGCAGCCGCGCUCACCCCGGUCAGCGGCGGGAGCGGCUCCUGCGUCAGGCCCUCGGGGAGAUCGUUCAUGGCCCCGGCCCGGGGAAGACAUGAAAAGAGAAAAUGGUCGAGAAAAUAACACGAACAACCUCUUCUGGACGUGGUGGUGUCAGUCAGGGCCCUGCGUCACCGCGAGUCCGUAGAGCCCCUCUGAGGCAGACACCCCCGAGGUCGCUGCUCGGGGCAGCGAUGCAGAUUUCCCCCUGGCUGUUGUUCUGGAUGCUGGAAUUGCCUCUGUGGCCAGGUGCUGGGCUCUUGCUGCAGGGGCCUUUCAGGCCUGACUGUCUGUGCAAUAACCCCAGGAUUCCAUGGGACACUCAGGGACUGUCCCAGCUGCAGUCAGGGGGAAUGAACACCACAUCAUCCUGAUCCUGAGAGCUCCAAGGAAAUUAACCACUGAUGUGGCGCUGAGGAUGCCACAGUCCUGACACUCCUGGCCUGGAACCAUGGCCCAGCAGCUUUCUGUGGGAGCCUGAAUUACUUGUGCAGGUCAGUUCCCCCUCCAUUCCUGCAGUCUGGGCAGUUCCAAAUGUCUGAUCCCUUCCCAAGGCUCCUGCCACAGCCUAGGGAGGCUCCUGAGCACGGCUGGGCUGCGAUGGAAUCUGCUCCCAGCUCCAGCCCUUGCCCUACUGCUGCACAUCGGGCCCAGCCAGGGGAGCUGAACUAAAGCCUGGGAAUUUAAAUUUUAAGGGAAACAACCCCAAACUUCACUCACUCGAGAGUAAAAAGGUAUGCUUGUAUUUACACAUAUCCAGGAAAAACACUCCUCUAGGGAAGUCUUGGAUUUAUUUUAUCAGUUGAACUGGCAGAGCUGCCAACUGCUGCCAUUAAGUUCUCCAUCCCCAGAAGCCCUGGUGCCCUGGGCCAUGGGGUUUUUGCUCAUUAGGAGGGACCUCUGGCCACACUCACAGCCUAGGAGUGUACAAAAUCCUAUUCCUCACUUCCCUGACUAAUGAGUAUCUUAAAAUCCACUCUGGAUUGUGCAGAAAAUCUCCUUGGUCCCACUUGGAACUAGACAUAUACAGCUGACUCUAUUAGUUAUUCCAGCUGAGUAAAAUAAUUAAGAAAAAGAGAAAACAAUUAAACCAAGUAACUUGUGCCUGAAGUUUUCCUCAGGAACUAGUUGGGAGCUCACCAGCAAGGCUCCCAGACAGGUAGAGUGUCUGAUGAAAAAUAUUUAUGUGCACAUAUAAAAAAAUAUAUAAAAUAUACAUAUUUAUACACACCUAUUA
This is a long non-coding RNA of Onychostruthus taczanowskii (white-rumped snowfinch), 1482 nucleotides long. RefSeq lists it as uncharacterized. NCBI's taxonomy places the organism in Eukaryota, Metazoa, Chordata, Aves, Passeriformes, Passeridae. The transcript has 3 exons. The record is from RefSeq and is a predicted model, not a curated record.